UUGCUAUACAAUACUUUUUUAACCAAUGUAUUUAAUAUUUUCAAUUAAAUUCCCCCAUUUAGCGCCAAAAACGUGUGCGCAUUUCUGAAGACGUUUAUCAUCUACAUUUAUGUUUUACUUUCAAAAAGAUGGUGGAGAAUAUUAAAUAUAUGAGUCUACAAUAUGCUAAGGAAGUCUCUCUGCUGAACUUAGAUCUAAUGAAUUUAUUGGAAGUUUAGAGAGCUACAUGUAUUAUGCCUGGAAUCAAAGGAUAACGCGAGUCCUAUUUCAGGUGGCGCCAAAAACGUGUGUCGCAUUUCUGAAGACGUUUAUCAUCUACAUUUAUGUUUUACUU
Molecule: long non-coding RNA, 334 nt
Organism: Drosophila guanche
Lineage: Eukaryota; Metazoa; Arthropoda; Insecta; Diptera; Drosophilidae
Exons: 4
Source: RefSeq, a predicted model, not a curated record